CUAAAUCCACCCAUUGAGAUCCACAUGAAGGUAUGAAAGCUUAUGCGAAAAGAAAGCUGGAGAUUUACAAUAACCCAGCUGAAUAACCUAGCUGAAAAGAAAGAUCCAGCUGGUUCACGAAUAUCUUGAUAGUCUUUUAGAUAGUUUAUUUUAACAUUUAUUGAAUUUUAUUACUACUAACCUUUUCUUUGAGAUCUGACGAAGUGAAACUUCAGAUGAUGUGUAUAUUUAUUGAAAUUGUGAGGUCGGCCGUGUAUAUGUUGUAAAUGUGAGAUGUGCAGGUCGGCUGUAAAGUCCCAGAUCAGCAAGUUAGAGAAAAAAUUAAUAAAUAAAAAUAAGCGAGGUCGGACUAGCAUUUCAGGUCGAGUAGGGCACAAUCCAUGGUCAUCUAACUUGAUUACACAGCAGCGCCCCUCAAAUAUCGGGACAACAUGGAGACAAUAAGAAAUGAUCAAAUGUCCGGGUUGAUCGAGUUGGAUGAACUUGGACUCUGUAUGUCGCCCCACUUGAAGACGAGGUGAGCUGAAAUACCUCGGUCGGCAUAGUCGGCAUUAGUCCGUCUGAUCGUCGAGAGGACGACUGAUCAAGCACCACUAGUAGGACCAUGAAUGGUUUCACUGGACAAAGCAUCGAAAAGACACUUGAUCAAAGCAUCGAGGGAUCUGCGUGGUCAAGCCCGUAGAUCAGACACUCAAGGUCUGGACAGGUCAGUUGGGUUAUGAGGUCGGCAAUCCUUCAACCUUUGAUUGAACAGGCCUGCCUUAGUACCAGGACGCUUGAUCGAGGCAUCGAGGAAUCUGUAUGGUCAAGCCCGUAGGUUGAAAAAUCAAGAGCUCAACAGGUCGGUCAGGGUACCAGGUCGGCAAGCCUUCAACCAGGACGACAAGCAUUCAAAAUUGAAUUUUGUACAAGCCGACAAUGCUACUCGAUCGGCAGAUCUCAAGAGAAGGCUAAACAGGUUGGGUCCUCGACAACCAUUUUGCUAAAGCCCUAAAAAAAAAAAA
RNAcentral lists this long non-coding RNA (1004 nucleotides) under Manihot esculenta (cassava). RNAcentral describes it as "long non-coding RNA (MESC_LNC013084)". The record is from RNAcentral. Lineage: Eukaryota; Viridiplantae; Streptophyta; Magnoliopsida; Malpighiales; Euphorbiaceae.